GAUUUCUGAUGAACCGGAGUGGCCCGUUUCCUUUCAGGGAAUGAGUGCCGCUUUGAGUUUGUCAUCCUUCCAGAGAGCUGCGUCUACCGUUUACUCGGCCGGACGUAUGCGAUCUGGAUCUAUUACUUUGAAAAAAUUAGAGUGUUUCAAGCAGGCAUGUUUUGCUAUGAAUACAUUAGCAUGGAAUAAUAAUCUAGGACUUUCGGUUCUAUUUUGUUGGUGUUCUGGAGCUGAAGUAAUGAUUGAUAGGGAUAGUUGGGGGUGCUAGUAUUCAAUGGCCAGAGGUGAAAUUCUCGGAUUCCUUGAAGACUAACUUAUGCGAAAGCAUU
This 329-nucleotide ribosomal RNA is filed under the name uncultured Euglypha. RNAcentral describes it as "SSU rRNA". The stretch from base 109 to 329 matches the Rfam family "Eukaryotic small subunit ribosomal RNA", at positions 738 to 955 of the family's 1831-position model. Lineage: Eukaryota; Cercozoa; Imbricatea; Euglyphida; Euglyphidae. The record is from RNAcentral.